Long non-coding RNA from Balaenoptera ricei (Rice's whale), 2045 nucleotides. RefSeq lists it as uncharacterized. The record is from RefSeq and is a predicted model, not a curated record. Lineage: Eukaryota; Metazoa; Chordata; Mammalia; Artiodactyla; Balaenopteridae. The transcript is spliced from 3 exons.
GCCGGAGCCGCGAGGGUAGCAGGGGGGCCCCGCCGGGUGGGCGGUGCCAGGCGCCCCCUACCGGGUGCGGGAUGUGCGGCCGGCCGGCCCAUACCAACUGCCCUUUGUGCGUCACGCACGUGGGCCCUACCAAAGCGUUUGGCGGGUGGCCGGGAGGAGGCCGUACCACCGGCUCGGGCGGGGGGGGGCGGGGGGUUUAGUUCCUAAGGCCAAAGGUGUGGGCGUAAAGGAGCAGCGGCCGGACCAGAUGUCCCAGUGUAGGCGGAGGUGGGGUCCGGAGGUGACUCGAACGUUACCACCCGUCGGUCUGGCCCGAGCGUGGGGCCGCUGUCCUCUUCGGCCCUGGGCGCCUCCUCUCCCUGUCGGAGGGUGCCUGGCCUCGGCCCCGCCCUCAAGAUUCUUUUCCCAUAAAGGUUAUUACAGAAUACUGAGUAGUGUUCCCUGUGCCAUACAGUAGGGGACUUUUCCUUAGAAGUGCAGAGAGGAGGUGAGAUCUGAGACUAGUUAGGCCACUGCAGUAACACAGGUGAGAUACUAUGGGAGCUUGGAUCACGAUGGAAGCAGUGAGGUGAUGGAAGUUGAGGGACGUCUUGAUAGUAGGCCAGUAGGAAUUGCUGCUGGAUUAGACAUGAGUGUGAGAAGGAGUGUAAAGUCAAGUGUGACUCCUAGGUUUCUGGCCUGAGCAAUUAGAAAAAUGAGGAGCCACUUGCUGAGAGGUAGAAGGGCGUGGGGAACACAUUCCGGGGGGAGGAUGAGAGCUCAGAUUGCGCCAUGCGAGAUGCCUCUGAGACGUCCUAGAAAUGUCAGCUAGGCGGCUGGAUAUAGGGACCAACGUCCAGGGGAGCAGCUGGGUGGGACGUGUGAAUUUGGGAGUCAUCAGCAUAAAGAUGGUGUUUGAGGCCGUGAUCCUGGAUGAGAUCACUGAGGCAGUGAGUGUGGACAGGGAAGAGAACCUAGGCUGCUCAGAUCAAGAGGUCAGGGAGAUGAGGAGGAAUGACCAGGGAGGUCAGAGGAGAGCCAGGCAAGGGCGUGUCCCGGAGUGGAGGAGGGGGAUGGACUCUGUCAGCGCUGCUGAUUGAGCAGGAGGAAAAGGGCUGAGGACUGCCCAGCCAGUGGAGAACAACAUGGCGUCUCUAAGGACUGACCUUGGCCAGAGCAGUUUCGGGGAAGCAGUGGGAGCAAAAGUCUAACGGGUUCAAGAAAGAGAAGGAGGACAGAAAUUGGAGAGGGUGGGAGAGACACCCGCUUGUCAGCUGACGGGAAUGAUCCAGUGGAGAAGGAAGCAUGGCUGAUGGAGCUGGGGCGGGUGAGGGGGAUGAUCAGCCGCCAGUUAUCAGGGACUACGGCUGGGUCUCGGGAGAGGUCCUCUCGCCCCCCUCCCAGCUGCAAGCCCCCUUAAGUGUUCGAAGGAAAGAGGAGGGUGGUUCUCUCCUGCUGGUGAAGUUACCCAUUUCGUGUGCACGCUCAGCAGCAAAGGGUUUGGAAUAUUCGAAAAACAGGAAAGGCAAGGGGGGCUGCCUCCAGAUACUUUUUUUUGUUAUUCCCUCUGCCUAGAAUGCUCUUCCCCCAGUCCUUCAAAAAGCUGGCUUCUUGCAGUCUGGGCCUCAGCUCGAGACCCGGUCAGAGAGGCCUUCCCUGGUGCUGAGCUAAAGGGGCUCCUCGAUGGCGCUCUCCGAAAGCCUCUCCACUGUGCUGACACUCACCGGGCUCUGACAGUGCCUUCCUUCUCACUUGUGGGCACCGUGCCAACUGUCCCGCACUAGGGUGUGCGCUGCACGAGGUGGGGACUGUGCCUCCAGGCCACCCCCAGCACCAGAGGUAUUCUGGCACAGAGUAGGCCUUCAGUAUAUGUCGUGGGAUGAAUGAAGGAGUCUCUGGUCAGAAGAUGAUAAGGUCUUUCUUGAUACUUUCACAUUUAUCUUGUGGGUCUGGCAUGUAUUCAACUUAUUUUGAUACGUGGUGGGAAAUGAUUUGUCCCCCAAGAGAGGGGCACUGUGAUGAUGUCACCAGGCUGCAGAGCAUGGGGACUCCUCCUUAACCUGGCA